This is a non-coding RNA of Caenorhabditis elegans, 143 nucleotides long. The record is from Ensembl. NCBI's taxonomy places the organism in Eukaryota, Metazoa, Nematoda, Chromadorea, Rhabditida, Rhabditidae.
CCACGGUACUCAUGCUUUUAUACUUCUGCCAAUUGUCCACUUGGCCCAACCGGUCCGGUUUUUGCACAAUAUUCCGGGAGCCCGGCCCGCCUACUUCCACGGAAGUGCCAAGUGUCCAACCCGUACUAAUCAUAUUGUAUUUU